This 52-nucleotide transfer RNA is filed under the name Candidatus Poseidoniales archaeon. Its description in RNAcentral is "Marine Group II euryarchaeote (marine metagenome) tRNA-Leu". The record is from RNAcentral. Lineage: Archaea; Methanobacteriati; Thermoplasmatota; Candidatus Poseidoniia; Candidatus Poseidoniales.
CUUGGCGGCUGGGGGCCGUCAGACCCCGGUUCAAAUCCGGGCGGACCCACCA